This 495-nucleotide ribosomal RNA is filed under the name uncultured bacterium. RNAcentral's name for it is "bacterial SSU rRNA". It matches the Rfam family "Bacterial small subunit ribosomal RNA", at positions 28 to 490 of the family's 1533-position model. The record is from RNAcentral.
GACGAACGCUGGCGGCGUGCUUAACACAUGCAAGUCGAACGAGACGAUUUAGAAGCUUGCUUUUAUUGAGUCGAGUGGCAAACGGGUGAGUAACGCGUAGACAACCUGCCGCAAAGAUGGGGACAACAGUCCGAAAGGACUGCUAAUACCGAAUGUUGUAUCUCCUCCGCAUGGAAGAGAUAUUAAAGAUGGGCCUCUACUUGUAAGCUAUCGCUUUGCGAUGGGUCUGCGUCUGAUUAGCUAGUUGGUGGGGCAAACGGGCCUACCAAGGCGACGAUCAGUAGCCGGUCUGAGAGGAUGAACGGCCACAUUGGAACUGAGACACGGUCCAGGACUCCUACGGGAGGCAGCAGUGGGAAUCUUCCGCAAUGGCGAAAGCCUGACGGAGCAACGCCGCGUGAGUGAAGAAGGUCUUCGGAUCGUAAAGCUCUGUUGUCGGGGACGAAUGUUGAGGCCUAGAACAUAGGUUUCAAAUGACGGUACCUGACGAGGAAG